Molecule: long non-coding RNA, 850 nt
Filed under: Ursus maritimus (polar bear)
Lineage: Eukaryota; Metazoa; Chordata; Mammalia; Carnivora; Ursidae
Description: lncRNA (ENSUMAG00000022631.1)
Source: RNAcentral
GCGGGAGUUAUCUGGUCGGUGUGAGUUGGCUGCUUCUCUGGAACUAGAUUCCGAGCUCCCUGAAGGCACGAAUACCACUCCUUGUCUCCUCUUUCUGCCUCCUGCCCUCUGCCCCUUACGACACAGAUUGAGCACCUCGUAUAGAAUGCACCUAGUGUAUAAUGCACAUCAAGUAUAAUGUGUCCAGCAUGUAAUGCCCCUAGAGUGUAACGCACGUAAUGUGUAUUGCAUGUAGCUUGUAAUGCCUGUAGUGUGUAAUACACAUAGUUCGGGGCGGGGGGCACAUGGUGUGUAAUGCACCUAGGGUGUAAUGCACGCAAUGUAUAUUUCAUAUAACUUAUAAUGCCUGUAGUGUAAUACACAUAGUUCAGGGGCACAUGGCGUGUAAUGCACCCAGACUACAAUGCCCCAGGCACCAUAUAAUGUGAUUGUCACUGCACAGAUGGCCGUACAGGCAUCACCACUAAGUUCAUCUUCCUCUGUCACUAUGCAAAUUCCAUGUCAAGGUCUUUUACUAUGUUUGUUUGUUUUAAGCGUACGCAGCCUGCACCAGCAACUCCCCUUCCUUUCACUCUUUUUAAGGGCAGUUCUUCAGGGACCUCAAAUAACCAAAGGAAAACCCCGGUACAUUUUCCAAUCCUUUGCGCCCGCUCACCCCACCUGCUGCUGCAGCACCAUUUGGCACUUUCGGUUUCUCUCCCAUUGUGAACACACCAAGAGGACGGGGAUGGGAUCCGGUUCUCCUCCUGGAUCAUCGCACACGUGGCCCCUCAUGGCCUUAUUGUGGCUGGACACCCACAGCCGGACCUCUGGGGCACACAGGGAGAGGGCAGCGGGUUCUCGCCUUUAG